Molecule: ribosomal RNA, 143 nt
Filed under: uncultured eukaryote
Lineage: Eukaryota
Description: partial 18S ribosomal RNA
Rfam family: Eukaryotic small subunit ribosomal RNA
Source: RNAcentral
UGGUGGAGUGAUUUGUCUGGUUAAUUCCGUUAACGAACGAGACCUCGACCUGCUAAAUAGUUUGGCGAAUUCCCUGUGGAUUCGCAUAUAACUUCUUAGAGGGACUAUCGGUUCGCAGCCGGUGGAAGUUCGAGGCAAUAACA